This is a non-coding RNA of Salvia hispanica, 370 nucleotides long. NCBI's taxonomy places the organism in Eukaryota, Viridiplantae, Streptophyta, Magnoliopsida, Lamiales, Lamiaceae. The record is from RefSeq and is a predicted model, not a curated record.
CUUAUUGUAGAUUGAGAGCAGACCAUUGGAAAAGCAUUCAACUAUUGCUGUCAUUGGAUAUAAACAUGGGAGUAACAUACGCAGGUAUUUUAGGUGCGUCUAUUUCAUCGACUUUGAAGCUUCUGUUAUCGACCCCAGGGCUCAAUGUGUUCUACAGCGUCUCCAGGAAUUGGCUACUUAUGUUCGAGUUUUCGGUUGCUAUCCUAUGGACAUCGCCACGUGGUAGAGAAACAUUCUUAUUUACUCCGUGUCAUAUAGUUUAUUUGUUUUUUGGAAUAAUUCUAAACUUAUGUAGUUGUAGUAUUGCUAAGUAGAUGUUUAUUUCGAAUUUGAUAAAAUUAAGAACUUUAACGGUUAAUUAUAUUUGAAC